This 253-nucleotide ribosomal RNA is filed under the name uncultured bacterium. RNAcentral describes it as "partial 16S ribosomal RNA". It matches the Rfam family "Bacterial small subunit ribosomal RNA", at positions 524 to 776 of the family's 1533-position model. The record is from RNAcentral.
UACGUAGGGGGCAAGCGUUGUCCGGAAUCAUUGGGCGUAAAGAGCGCGUAGGCGGCCCUGUAAGUCCGCUGUGAAAGUCAAGGGCUCAACCCUUGAAUGCCGGUGGAUACUGCAGGGCUAGAGUCCGGAAGAGGCGAGUGGAAUUCCUGGUGUAGCGGUGAAAUGCGCAGAUAUCAGGAGGAACACCGAUGGCGAAGGCAGCUCGCUGGGACGGUACUGACGCUCAUGCACGAAAGCGUGGGGAGCAAACAGG